CACCAAUGAAGAGCCUAGCUUGUUCCAAAAGUUUUUAAGCCAAUCAUCUUCCUCUGAAAUGUUCCUAACGCCCCUUCAUCACAAAAUCUUUUUCUGUCAGCCAUUGAUGCUACUCGGUGAGUAUCUGAGGUCAUUUUAGCUUCAUUUGCAACGAAUGUAAUGCCAAAGACUAUAAAUGUGAUGAAAUAUGACAAUAACAUGUCUAGUCAACCGAUUUGUUUGACUACAGGGGCUUCCCAAACUGUAAUUUAAUAACUUUCGUAGAUCGCUAGCUACUGUAGCCUGCUGCUGCACAGGCAGGUUAGCAUUGGCUGUAAAUUAUUUUUAUGUCAGCCAUCGAUGCCACUCGGUGAGUAUAUGAGGUAAUUGUGCUUAAUUUGCAACAAAUGACAACUAAAUGUGAUGAAAUAUGACAAUAACACUUCCAACCGACUUGUUUGACUACAGGGGCUACCCAAAUUGUGUAAUGUAACAAUGUUCGUAUAUCGCUAGCUACUGUAGGUGGACAAAACUCAAAGUUUAUUUGACCACUGACAAUCCUGUAAAACCUUAGCUAACAUCUAUAUCAACUCAAAGUUGGAAUUCUAUACUAUUUAAUUGUCUAUUUUCUUUCGUUUUUUGAUGGUAUGCGUUUGAAGUGUAUGUAGUUGAAUGAAUUGUAUGACCAUGAUAUGAUGGUCAUUGGGGCAAACGUGUCUUUCUAUGUAAACUGCAUUUAACUGCAUGUGAAAUAAUAAUCACCCUAAUCUUACCCAUAACCCCCACUGCUGUCCUCCUCCUAGCAGACCUAUCAAACGUAAGUUCCUUUAUAUGUAUCUAAUAUGGUUAUGCUGUCACUUGUCACUGCACUCCUCAGUCAUGAUAAUAGUAUUUUUCUUGUCUCCUAAGAUGGAAAAUCCAAGGUUCCGUUUCACGCCCUCACAGGAGUUGGUCCUCACGGCCACACACCCCAGGCAGUAAAAGUGGCCGCUGACCCCCUGCUUCUGGUGCUCAGGGCCCUCCUGUGAGGACGCCUUAACUCGCUACUCGUGAGCCUAUCCGCCCUUUGCUGAGAUGGUCAGGUUCAACCGGGCGCACGAGGAAGCUAAAGUCCUGUCCUCACAGCCAGGCCAGGAGGGCAAGGUGCUUGUUGGCAUCAGGAAGUACAAGUGGGACUCACUGCAGGACCUGUAUGAGGCUAUGGGUGUAGACAGGAUAAAAUAUGUCAGGAGCUUGAGGACGCAGACACCCCGUUAUCCUGGCAGUGUGAUGGCCGCCUUGAUUGACUACAUUCAGCGCAGAGACCAGGAGGGGGUAGCUGCUGUGGCCAGGCCCACCGCAGCCAGCACCAACCCUGCCAGCACCACCCGGCCCAAGAGUGCGGCUACGCCUCUUGGUCCUGCGGUCUCUGCGUUCCUUUCAAGGCGCUCUCUCGCCCCAGGUGAACUGCAGGCGAAGAUGAAGAAACUCAUUGCAGUUCAAGGUGAGUGUGUAGUUACACAUGUAAGAUAAUACUAACCCUUUUGGAUAAGCUGUGUAGCUCACAAUCCUUUCUCUCUCCACGUGAUAUAGGGGUGUCUUUCCCUCGACCAGCACUGCCACCAACAGAUCUAUCAGACACAGAGCUGGUCAAAGCAGCUGCUGACAGAACAUGUUUGUUUUUACGUCACUAUUAAUUGACACAGGAAAUUUGAUAAGUAUUCAGUUAAAGUUAAAGCCAGAGGGGGUGACCCGGAUGAUAGACGACUGGUGGACAGUGAGAGUGCCCUCCAGUUUGGUAAAUACCGUGGUCAAACCUUCAAGUGGCUGCUAAGCCAUGAUGUCAGCUAUGCUGUCAUGGUCUUGGCUUCUCACCAGCAAGAGCAGGAGAUGGGGGACACAGACACGUCUCCUGAAAUGGCCAACAAGGACCGGUUUGACUGGUAUACCAACCUGUUUCCUGAGGUCCUGAAGGCAGUGGAGGAACGCAGGGUACGGGACGGGACCUUGCCCCACCCGACCUGACCAGGAGGACUCGUGCCUUGUUGGCUUUGGGAACCACAAGUCCCUUACCUACAAAGAGCUUUAUGAGGACAAGGAAAGGAAGAGGUAUUGUGACCUUACAUUGUAACGACCACCUGGCAGCGCUACAGUAGAUCUGGAGUGGCACCUCCCAAGCUGCUCUCUGUCGACCGGGACUGCUGCACCCUGAUGGGAAAGGGGAAGAUUGCAGCCAUGUUCAGCCAGUGGGAUGAGCUCAUCGUCCGGCUGUGGAUGUGUGGCACCUCAUCCGUCGUUUAGCUCGGGGAGUGACCACAGAGACUGAAUGCAGGCCAUCUGGCAGACCCAGAGACUACACCUGGUCUGCAUUCAGGACCCCCCUGGUGUCAGCCUCUACACCAACAAGGGCAAGGACGUGACCAAGGGAGGGGUCAUCCUGCCUGUGUUGCGCUCGUGGGUCCACCUCCCUGGAGUCGUUCCACCUCAACCGAUUCAUUCCUGGUGUUAAAUGUAAAACUGGGUCAUGUUGUUACGUCAUGUUGUGUGUUAACAACUGUGUGCAUGGGAGGAGUUAUUAUUUCUUGUUGUCAUCAUCUAUUGCUUUCAGGCCUACCUCCUUGAAGGGUUGGUUGGGUGGAAUGAGGACCGUGCCGAAGCUACAGCGGGGGGGCAGAAGCAGACCCUGCACUGCUAUGAUGUUGUAGCCCAGCACGCCAUCAAUGAGCUGAGCCAGAAGCUCCUGGGCUGCAGUCUUGUGAAGGAUCACACAAGGCCUGCAAAGUACACUGGGGAACUCAUUGGGGUCGAGUAUCUCUUCUCCCAGACCCAUGGUGACCAGAUGUUGGGAGUCCAACCUCAGUAAGGACCCAGAUGUCCCAGACGGGACACCUACUCUAUUUGAGGGAGAGGAGGAUGACCCCACCAUGUCCUUGCCGACCUCGAUGACCGUCUCCCACCAGUCCCUCCACUCAGGAAGGCCACUCCACCGCCCAAUAAACCCAACCCAUCCCAGGUACCUGUCGUCACACCCCCUGAUGACACUGCACCAGCUGCCAGUCAGGACCCAGAGGAUGACGAGAACAUAGGACCUGAUGGGGUUAGUGGAUACCAGCACGUGGUCCUCUUGGCCACUAGUCAGCCACUGCCACCUCCACCCAGUCUGUCUUCCACCUCCCUCCCUAUAACGCCAGUCUUCCAAGACCUGCCCUCGACCUCCACUCCUCUUCCCCCUCCUGCUGGUGGACCCAAGGUCUCCAGGACCACCGAAUGGAGGAGGAGGAAGAAGCUGGAGUCUGGCAUAAAAGUCAGAGCGCACAAGCCAUAUGAAGACUAUAAGUGCUCUAAAUGUGGCAAGCCUAAAACUUCUGAGUUUGGACACAGUAUGUAUGGUUCUGUGAGGUUCUGUGCCUCUACCUCUGGUGGCCAAACUGUGGAGGAGUGGCUGGCACUCAUGAGGACCCAGCAUGGUGCUAGCCAAGGCCAGUAAACUCUUGACUGACUGGUGUGUACAUUGUAAAGUAGUUUUUGUAAAUAUGUUCUUUGUUAAUUUUUUUUACGACAUUCAUUGUUAAUCUCUUGUACAUUUAGCUAAUUUAAAAUCUUCUUAACUUGUACAGUCGGUGUAGGGGACCUUACGCUGGGUUGCUUCACACGUGACAUUCCCUGAGAAAUAAAUAAAUUGAAUGCAAGCACUUUCUCCCUUAAAUUCAUUUUGAUUUAUUGUCAUACAGUCUCUUUUAAAGUUCAACAAAUAAAAAGACAAGUAAAUCUGUCAUAAUUGUAUUU
Oncorhynchus tshawytscha (Chinook salmon) is the source of this 3744-nucleotide long non-coding RNA. The record is from Ensembl. NCBI's taxonomy places the organism in Eukaryota, Metazoa, Chordata, Actinopteri, Salmoniformes, Salmonidae.